AACGAACGCUGGCGGCGCGUCUUAACCAUGCAAGUCGAGCGGCAGGCAGCAAUGCCGAGGGCGGCGGACUGGUGAGUAACACGUGGAUAACGUACCCCGAUGUCCGGGACAGCCUGUAGAAAUAGAUGGUAAUACCGGAUAGAUCACUGUUUACGUGAGGUAGACAGCGGGAAAGGAGCUUCGGCUCCGCGACGGGAUCGGUCUGCGGCCCAUCAGCUGGACGGCGGGGUAAAGGCCCGCCGUGGCGAGGACGGGUAUCCGGCCUGAGAGGGCGGACGGACACAUUGGGACUGAGAUACGGCCCAGACUCCUACGGGAGGCAGCAGGUAAGAAUAUUCCGCAAUGGGGGGAACCCUGACGGAGCGACGCCGCGUGAACGAAGAAGGCCGGAAGGUUGUAAAGUUCUUUUCUGUCCGAGGAAUAAGUUUCGGAGGAAAUGCCGGGACGGUGACGGUAGGGCAGGAAUAAGCACCGGCUAAUUACGUG
RNAcentral lists this ribosomal RNA (486 nucleotides) under uncultured bacterium. RNAcentral describes it as "partial 16S ribosomal RNA". It matches the Rfam family "Bacterial small subunit ribosomal RNA", at positions 29 to 507 of the family's 1533-position model. The record is from RNAcentral.